Molecule: ribosomal RNA, 1156 nt
Filed under: Chaetophyes admittens
Lineage: Eukaryota; Metazoa; Arthropoda; Insecta; Hemiptera; Machaerotidae
Description: SSU rRNA
Rfam family: Eukaryotic small subunit ribosomal RNA
Source: RNAcentral
CUGUCGGUGUUAACUGGCAUGUUCUGUGGAACGUCCUGCCGGUGGCGGUCCGGGCUCUCGUUCUGCGUAAGGGUCUCCCGAAGCAGGGCGAAAAGUUCCGGCCGCCGGUUCAAUCCCGCCACGGUGCUCUUCACCGAGUGUCGAGGUGGGCCGGCACUUUUACUUUGAACAAAUUAGAGUGCUUAAAGCAGGCGGUUUCCGCCUGAAUACUGUGUGCAUGGAAUAAUGGAAUAGGACCUCGGUUCUAUUUUGUUGGUUUUCAGAACCCGAGGUAAUGAUUAAUAGGGACAGGCGGGGGCAUUCGUAUUGCGACGUUAGAGGUGAAAUUCUUGGAUCGUCGCAAGACGAACCUAAGCGAAAGCAUUUGCCAAGUAUGUUCUCGUUAAUCAAGAACGAAAGUUAGAGGUUCGAAGGCGAUCAGAUACCGCCCUAGUUCUAACCAUAAACGAUGCCAGCCAGCGAUCCGCCGAAGUUCCUCCGAUGACUCGGCGGGCAGCUUCCGGGAAACCAAAGCUUUUGGGUUCCGGGGGAAGUAUGGUUGCAAAGCUGAAACUUAAAGGAAUUGACGGAAGGGCACCACCAGGAGUGGAGCCUGCGGCUUAAUUUGACUCAACACGGGAAACCUCACCAGGCCCGGACACCGGAAGGAUUGACAGAUUGAGAGCUCUUUCUUGAUUCGGUGGGUGGUGGUGCAUGGCCGUUCUUAGUUGGUGGAGCGAUUUGUCUGGUUAAUUCCGAUAACGAACGAGACUCUAGCCUGUUAACUAGGCGAUUUCCGGUACCCACAAUAUGUUACCGGCGAUUCAAUUUCUUCUUAGAGGGACAGGCGGCUUCUAGCCGCACGAGACUGAGCAAUAACAGGUCUGUAAUGCCCUUAGAUGUUCUGGGCCGCACGCGCGCUACACUGAAGGAAUCAGCGUGUCUUCCCUGGCCGACAGGCCCGGGUAACCCGUUGAACCUCCUUCGUGCUAGGGAUUGGGGCUUGCAAUUGUUCCCCAUGAACGAGGAAUUCCCAGUAAGCGCGAGUCAUAAGCUCGCGUUGAUUACGUCCCUGCCCUUUGUACACACCGCCCGUCGCUACUACCGAUUGAAUGAUUUAGUGAGGUCUUCGGACUGGUGCGCGGCUGUCGGUUUCCGGCAGCCGAUGUUGCCGGAA